AUUGGAUUGAGAACAAUGUACAACUCUUAUCGAUAAGCCAUUGGAGGGCAAGUCUGGUGCCAGCAGCCGCGGUAAUUCCAGCUCCAAUAGCGUAUAUUAACGUUGUUGCAGUUAAAAAGCUCGUAGUUGAAGUGUGGGUGAUCGCUGUUGUGAGACUUCGGUCUCUCGACAGUAAGUCACCCCCUUCCAGUAUCCAGUAGUGGGUAUUCAGUUACUUACUAUUGUGUGUUGGUCCUUUACUGUGAGAAAAUUAGAGUGUUCAAAGCAGGCGUUUGCUUGAAUAGAUUAGCAUGGAAUAAUAAUUGAAGGCUUUCGUGUUCGAUUUGAUUGGUUUGUUCAUGGAAGCAAGGUUAAAAGGAACAGUUGGGGGUAUUCAUAUUCACUAGUUAGAGGUGAAAUUCUCGGAUUUAUGGAAGAUGAACA
RNAcentral lists this ribosomal RNA (423 nucleotides) under Blastocystis sp. Its description in RNAcentral is "SSU rRNA". It matches the Rfam family "Eukaryotic small subunit ribosomal RNA", at positions 508 to 941 of the family's 1831-position model. The record is from RNAcentral. Lineage: Eukaryota; Bigyra; Opalinata; Blastocystidae.